Molecule: ribosomal RNA, 444 nt
Filed under: uncultured bacterium
Lineage: Bacteria
Description: partial 16S ribosomal RNA
Rfam family: Bacterial small subunit ribosomal RNA
Source: RNAcentral
GUAGGGAAUAUUGGGCAAUGGUCGGAAGACUGACCCAGCCAUGCCGCGUGCAGGAAGACGGCCCUCUGGGUUGUAAACUGCUUUUAUCUGGGAAGAAAAAGGCCAUGCGUGGCAAAUUGCCGGUACCAGAUGAAUAAGCACCGGCUAACUCCGUGCCAGCAGCCGCGGUAAUACGGAGGGUGCGAGCUUUGUCCGGAUUUAUUGGGUUUAUAGGUUGCGUAGGCGGCUGAUUAAGUCAGCGGUGAAAGACUUCGGCUUAACCGGAGCAGUGCCGUUGAUACUGGUUGGCUUGAGUGUCGGAGGGGUACAUGGAAUUGAUGGUGUAGCGGUGAAAUGCAUAGAUACCAUCAGGAACACCGAUAGCGAAGGCAUUGUACUGGCCGACAACUGACGCUGAUGCACGAAAGUGUGGGGAUCGAACAGGAUUAGAUACCCCGGUAGUCC